GACGUAGGUGGCGAACGUUAUCCGGAAUUAUUGGGCGUAAGGGGUGCGUAGACGGUGGAAUAAGUUACCGGUGGGAAACCGAGGCUCAACCUCGUGGAAGUUGGUAAUACUAUUUUACUUGAGUGCAGGAGAGGUUAACGGAACUCCAUGUGGAGCGGUAAAAUGUAUAGAUAUAUGGAAGAACAUCAAUAACGGCGAAGGCAGUUAACUAUUCUGUGACUGACGUUGAGGCACGAAAGCGUGGGGAGCAAAAAGG
RNAcentral lists this ribosomal RNA (256 nucleotides) under uncultured prokaryote. RNAcentral describes it as "partial 16S ribosomal RNA". It matches the Rfam family "Bacterial small subunit ribosomal RNA", at positions 524 to 776 of the family's 1533-position model. The record is from RNAcentral.